AUCAAACGGGAUGUGUAGAACUACAAUAAAGUUUAAAUUCACAUAGCAAUUCAGAUUUCUCAAACAGUCGCUUCGCAACAAAUAAAAUAAAAGUAUAAGUAGCUCCCCUUACCUGGUACCGCGCUCCAGUACAACUAAAUGGAGACUUUCUAUCAGUGCCCUCACAGGACAGAACCAAUACCUAUAAAUCACCAAAUUUGUGAUAGAGACAGCCUUUUAGAGCUAGAACAUACGGAGAAGGGAAAACAAAGUACGAAAAGCACAUGCAACCAGAAAAAUUGGGUGCCCUAGAUCAAGACAGUGAAGAGAAAGGGGAAAAUUUACUUACCCGAUGAAAUGAAUAAAUUGUUCGGUGGGAAUUAAUGAUUUUGCAGCAACAAAACAGAUAUUCAACAAUUCAGUCUGCUAGAAUUUGAGAGAGAAGACAGAACAUUUGAGUUUGGGCAAGGUUUCUGUUAUAGAAAGGAAUUUACAGAAUGAAAAUCUAACUUCUGAAAAGAAAAGGUCUUCCCUUCUAAGGCUGAAGCUCCCCUAAAGUUAUGAGUCUGGCUGCCUAUUUAGACCCAAUGGCCCUUAUUAUUAUUAUUA
This 588-nucleotide long non-coding RNA is filed under the name Vigna radiata. RNAcentral's name for it is "long non-coding RNA (VRAD_LNC004407)". The record is from RNAcentral. Lineage: Eukaryota; Viridiplantae; Streptophyta; Magnoliopsida; Fabales; Fabaceae.